GGCUACCUGGCUGAUUCUUGAGUACACGAGGCAUAACUUCAUCCCUGAAGACUCAAGAGUGAUAUUGUCAUCAUAUGGAGGGGAAAUCCAUGUAUUGCUGAAGGAAGAAAAUCCUGAAAAUGAUCCUCUCUGGUGCUGGCUAGAGAAAGGGAGCAUCAAAGAAGGCCAAAAUCGCCCAGACCCAUCUCCAGUGUCUAAUCUACAGAAUGGAAACCUUAAUCUACAGGCACAAGGGAAAGAAAAUCUGUAGCCUGAGGGCAUUGGUAGAAACCCAGAAUAGCUGCUAGAGAGAGCUCUCGGUCAACACCAAAACACUGUCAGAUCCCUCGCCCAUAUUACUCCUAUGUGGGUUGUCAGAUGAGAUUCAUGACAACCAGUACAAAACAAAGCAAGACGGGACCAGCACACAGGGUCAGGCCGUGCAGAGCAGUUAUAGCAACAUCUAAACUUCUGUGCCACUAACUUUAGUGUGUGGUCCAAGUUGCCUGCUGGAAUUCUAACAUUUAAGAUCACAACAUAGCAGGAAGAAGAGGAAGUGUGAGAAGAGCAAAUGAGAGUAACCACCAGCCAAGUCAGUUUUAUUUCGACAGUCUUUCCAGAAGCCCAGCCAACAUCUUUGACUUAUAUUUAACUGAUCACCUGUGACUGCCGCAAGAAUUAGAAAUAACAUUCUUUAGCUGUAUCCCUUGCUACACAGAAUAAAACUGAAGUUUAUCACUAAAGAAGAAAAGGAGGCACUAGAGCACACUGCGGUUCUGCCGUAUCUGCAUAUACUUCAUGAAUGACUUAAUGACAUUCUUUUAAUCUUUGGAGUGUUACACCUUCAUAAGUAUAAAUUUAUUAAAAAAUUGAGCAGAU
Molecule: long non-coding RNA, 858 nt
Organism: Pan troglodytes (chimpanzee)
Lineage: Eukaryota; Metazoa; Chordata; Mammalia; Primates; Hominidae
Exons: 3
Source: RefSeq, a predicted model, not a curated record